GACGGAAGGUGCAAGCGUUGCUCGGAAUCACUGGGCGUAAAGGGUGCGUAGGCGGCUUGGUGGGUCUGGUGUGAAAGCCCCGGGCUCAGCCCGGGAAGGGCACUAGAAACUGCCGAGCUGGAGUGCCGGAGGGGAGAGUGGAAUUCCUGGUGUAGCGGUGAAAUGCGUAGAUAUCGGGAGGAACACCAGUGGCGAAGGCGGUUACCUGGAGCUUUGCUGACGCUGAUGCGCGAAAGCGUGGGGAGCGAUCCGG
This 253-nucleotide ribosomal RNA is filed under the name uncultured bacterium. RNAcentral describes it as "partial 16S ribosomal RNA". It matches the Rfam family "Bacterial small subunit ribosomal RNA", at positions 524 to 776 of the family's 1533-position model. The record is from RNAcentral.